GCGCCGUUAGCUCAGUUGGCAGAGCUUCCGACUCUUAAUCGGAAUGUCGCAGGUUCGAUUCCUGCACGGCGUACCA
RNAcentral lists this transfer RNA (76 nucleotides) under Plantactinospora alkalitolerans. RNAcentral describes it as "Plantactinospora sp. S1510 tRNA-Lys". It matches the Rfam family "tRNA". From Rfam's summary of the family: Transfer RNA (tRNA) molecules are approximately 80 nucleotides in length. Their secondary structure includes four short double-helical elements and three loops (D, anti-codon, and T loops). Further hydrogen bonds mediate the characteristic L-shaped molecular structure. tRNAs have two regions of fundamental functional importance: the anti-codon, which is responsible for specific mRNA codon recognition, and the 3' end, to which the tRNAs corresponding amino acid is attached (by aminoacyl-tRNA synthetases). tRNAs cope with the degeneracy of the genetic code in two manners: having more than one tRNA (with a specific anti-codon) for a particular amino acid; and 'wobble' base-pairing, i.e. permitting non-standard base-pairing at the 3rd anti-codon position. Lineage: Bacteria; Bacillati; Actinomycetota; Actinomycetes; Micromonosporales; Micromonosporaceae. The record is from RNAcentral.